CCCCUAGAUGUUCUGGGCCGCACGCGCGCUACACUGAACAGUUCAACAAGUCUUAACCUUGGCCGAUAGGUCUGGGUAAUCUUUGAACGCUGUUCGUGAUUGGGAUAGACCUUUGCAAUUAUGGGUCUUCAACGAGGAAUUCCUAGUAAACGCAAGUCAUCAGCUUGCAUUGAUUACGUCCCUGCCCUUUGUACACACCGCCCGUCGCACCUACCGAUUGAAUGGUCCGGUGAAAUCUCGGGACGGCGGCUUGGUCGCUUGCGUCCGACUGCUGAAACUUGAUUAAACCAUAUCAUUNNNAGGAAGGUGAAGUCGUAACA
Molecule: ribosomal RNA, 320 nt
Filed under: uncultured eukaryote
Lineage: Eukaryota
Description: partial 18S ribosomal RNA
Rfam family: Eukaryotic small subunit ribosomal RNA
Source: RNAcentral